AAGUCGUAACAAGGUUUCCGUAGGUGAACCUGCGGAAGGAUCAUUAUUAUAAUGCGUGGAAAUGCCCCUAACAAGGGCAUACUCUAUAAAACUCUAAACUUACAGUCUGAGAAGGCCAUGUGCCGUAUUCUUUAAACCUUUUAAAACUUUCAACAACGGAUCUCUUGGCUCUCGCAUCGAUGAAGAACGCAGCGAAAUGCGAUAAGUAAUGUGAAUUGCAGAAUUCAGUGAAUCAUCGAAUCUUUGAACGCACAUUGCGCCCUUUGGUAUUCCAUAGGGCAUGCCUGUUCGAGCGUCACUAACAACCCCAUCACAAAUAGUGUGGUAUUGGCAGAAGUGGGUAGGGCUAGCACGGUUGGCCCCACUCUGCUGGAAUGAAUAGGCCGGAAAUGUAGACCAUGGUAACAGACUUUCAGAGUAUUUUCAAAUGCUAAAUUAGUUUGUAGGCCUGGUCAGAAUCCAGGCCAUUGGACCCCCAUUCUGUGUAAAGCAGUAAUGUUGACCUCGGAUCAGGUAGGGAUACCCGCUGAACUUAAGCAUAUCAAUAAGCGGAGGAAAAGAAACCAACAGGGAUUGCCUUAGUAACGGCGAGUGAAGCGGCAAAAGCUCAAAUUUGAAAUCUGGCACCUCUGGUGCUCGAGUUGUAAUUUGGAGAGGCAUCUUCUGGAGGGGCCCAGCCUAUGUGCCUUGGAACAGGACGUCAUAGAGGGUGAGAAUCCCGUACUUGGCUGGAUGUUCCCUCCUGUAUGUAGUGUCUUCUACGAGUCGAGUUGUUUGGGAAUGCAGCUCAAAAUGGGUGGUAAAUUUCAUCUAAAGCUAAAUAUUGGCGAGAGACCGAUAGCGCACAAGUAGAGUGAUCGAAAGAUGAAAAGCACUUUGAAAAUAGAGUCAAACAGUACGUGAAAUUGUUGAAAGGGAAGCGCUUAGGACCAGACUCAGCCUUUGGUGAACAACUGCCCACCGGGGCGGUGCACUUGUCAUUGGUUGGGCCAGCAUGGGUUGGGACGGUGGGAUAAAGGCUCGGGAAAUGUGACUCCUUUAUGGAGUGUUAUAGUCCCGGGUGGCAUGCCACCAGUCCCGACUGUGGAACGCGCACCGGCACGGAUGCUGGGCAUAAUGGUCUUCAGCGACCCGUCUUGAAACACGGACC
Molecule: ribosomal RNA, 1150 nt
Filed under: uncultured fungus
Lineage: Eukaryota; Fungi
Description: eukaryotic LSU rRNA
Rfam family: Eukaryotic large subunit ribosomal RNA (bases 500-1150)
Source: RNAcentral